RNAcentral lists this unclassified non-coding RNA (1046 nucleotides) under Eulophia attenuata. RNAcentral's name for it is "Geodorum attenuatum partial contains tRNA-Leu (trnL) and trnL-trnF intergenic spacer". The record is from RNAcentral. Lineage: Eukaryota; Viridiplantae; Streptophyta; Magnoliopsida; Asparagales; Orchidaceae.
UGAGAAUAAAAAGGGAUAGGUGCAGAGACUCAAUGGAAGCUGUUCUAACGAAUGAAAUUGAUUACGUUACGUUAGUAGCUAAAAUCUUUCUAUCGAAAUGACAGAAAGGAUAACUUUAUAUACCUAAUACGUACGUAUACAUACUGAAAUAGCAAACGAUUAAUCACAACCCAAAUAUUAUAUCGAAUCCUAUUCUGUAUUUCUAUAUAGGAAAAAAGAAAUCUUCUAUUUCUUUAUCUUUUUUAUCUUUAUAUUAUAUAUUAGUAUAUAUAUUCAUUCUAUAUUCUAUUUAUUCUAUAUUCUAUUCUUCUAAUUAUUCUAGAAUAGAAUAGUAUAACUCUAUUAGAAAAUAAUAGAAUAAUUUAUUAUUUUCUAUAUUCUUUAUUUAUUUCUUAUUUAUAUUACUAUUAAUAUGAGUAAUAUUAUGAGAUAAAGAUCUAUAGAAACCCUCUAUUAAUUAGAAUAAUAGAGAUCAAAAAAUAUAUGAAAAAUCGAAGAGUUAUUGUGAAUCAAUUCUAAUUGAAGUUGAAAAAAGAAUCGAAUUCUAAUAUUCAGUGAUCAAAUGAUUCAUUCCAGAGUUUGAUAGAUCUUUUGAAGAUGAAUCGGACGAGAAUAAAGAGAGAGUCCCAUUUUACAUGUCAAUACCGACAACAAUGAAAUUUAUAGUAAUAGGAAAAUCCGUCGAAUUUUUAAAUCGUGAGGGUUCAAGUCCCUCUAUCCCCAAUAAAAAGACCAUUUUACUUCCUCGCUUUUUAUUUAUCCUCAUCCUCUUUUUUUUCAUCAGUGGCUCGGUUUAAACAAGAUGAAAUAUCUUUCUCGCUUCAUUCACUCUGUUCUUUCACAAAUGGAUACGAAUAUAAAUCCUCGUAUCUUCUUCCAAUCCAAUCUCAUUUUGUUUGUAUAAUACGAUAUGAACAUAUAUGUUCAAGGAAUCUCCGUUAUUGAAUCAUUCAUAGUCCGUAUCUUUUUACUUACAUUUACAAAGAAAGUCUUCUUUUUGAAGAUCUAAGAAAUUCAGGGGCUAGGGCCAAUUUUUUAAGAUUUGA